RNAcentral lists this long non-coding RNA (425 nucleotides) under Mus musculus (house mouse). Its description in RNAcentral is "long non-coding RNA chrX:135813593-135814018". Lineage: Eukaryota; Metazoa; Chordata; Mammalia; Rodentia; Muridae. The record is from RNAcentral.
UUUUCAGAUUUGCUGUAAUACAAGUUUUUAACAUACUUCCUAAUGAUUUUCUGAAUUUAAUUGGCAUCUGUUAUAAUAUCUACUUUUUCAUUUCAAAUUUUGUUAACUUGAGUCUUUCUUUUGAUUCAUACUGGUAAAGUUUCUUUAUUUUGCUUUUUUUCUGCAGAAAUCUUGGUCUUUAUUUCAUUUUGGGGAGGGGAGUUAAAUUCUACUUUUCUUCUGACAGAAAAUGUUGUAAAUUUAUUACUUACUAAGUACUAUUGCAAAAAAAUUUUUUUUUGAUUUUGCAAGACAGAGUCUUUCUGUGUAACCCUGGCUGUCCUGGAACUUGCUCUGUAGACCAGGCUGGACUCAAACUCACAAUGCAGGGGUUAAAGGCAUGUGCCACCACUGCUCAAAUAAAGGCAAAACCUUUUAAAUCACUC